CCUACGGGAGGCAGCAGUGGGGAAUUUUGGACAAUGGGGGCAACCCUGAUCCAGCAAUGCCGCGUGAGUGAAGAAGGCCCUCGGGUUGUAAAGCUCUUUUGUCAGGGAAGAAACGGUGGUUCCUAAUACGAGCUGCUAAUGACGGUACCUGAAGAAUAAGCACCGGCUAACUACGUGCCAGCAGCCGCGGUAAUACGUAGGGUGCAAGCGUUAAUCGGAAUUACUGGGCGUAAAGCGUGCGCAGGCGGUUAUAUAAGACAGAGGUGAAAUCCCCGGGCUCAACCUGGGAACUGCCUUUGUGACUGUAUGGCUAGAGUGUGUCAGAGGGGGGUAGAAUUCCACGUGUAGCAGUGAAAUGCGUAGAUAUGUGGAGGAAUACCGAUGGCGAAGGCAGCCCCCUGGGAUAACACUGACGCUCAUGCACGAAAGCGUGGGGAGCAAACAGGAUUAGAUACCCUGGUAGUCCACGCCCUAAACGAUGUCUACUAGUUGUCGGGACUUAAUUGUCUUGGUAACGCAGCUAACGCGUGAAGUAGACCGCCUGGGGAUACGGUCGCAAGNUUAAAACUUAAUGAAUUGACCGGNUGNGAGNGCGAGCGACGACGAGGGAGGAGG
This 615-nucleotide ribosomal RNA is filed under the name uncultured bacterium. RNAcentral's name for it is "bacterial SSU rRNA". It matches the Rfam family "Bacterial small subunit ribosomal RNA", at positions 338 to 947 of the family's 1533-position model. The record is from RNAcentral.